UGCUUUACUUCCUCUGGGCCCAGACUCAUAAUAAUCACAGUUCAUCACUACCUCUGCACAGGAGACCCAAGAUCCUCCCUUUGUGGGUGUCUAAAGGAAGGGGACAGACAUAGAGAUAGAGAUGAUAGAGACAGAAAUGAGGGUCCGGGUGGUGGCGCGCCUGGUUUAGCGUACAUGUUACAAUGUGCAAGGACCCGGGUUGGAACCCCGGUCCCCACCUGCAGGAACCCCGGGUCACCACCUGCUCCGUGGGUGGUGAACAGUACUGCAGGUGUCUCUCUGUCUCUCUCCUUUUCUAUCACUCCCCCUUCCCUCUCAAUUUUUGGGUGUCUCUAUGCAAUAAAUAAAUUAGAGAAUUUAAAAAAGUUAAAAAAGAGAGAGAGGUGAUAGAAAUAGAGGGGGUCAGGUAGUGGCACACCGGGUUAAGUGCAUAUAGUACGAAGAGCAAGAAUCCACACAGAGGAUCCUGGUUUGAGCCCCGGGCUCUUCACCUGUGGGGAGAGGGGGUCGCAUCACAACUGGUGAAGCAGAUACGCAGGUGUCUAUCUUUCUCUCCCUCUCUCUAUUUCCCUCUCCCCUCUCAAUUUCUCUCUGUCUUACCAAUAAAAAAAAAAGGGAAAAAAAAGACUGCUAGGAGCAGUGAAUUCAUAGUGCUGGCCCCAGGACCCAGAGAUAACUCUGGAGGCAGAGAGAGAGAGAGAGGGAGAAAGAGAGACAGAGACCAAAGCACCGCUCAAAUCUGGCUUAUAGUGGUGCUGGGGAUUGAACCUGGGACUUUGGAGCCUCAGGCCUGGGAGCCAUUUUGCGUGUGCCAUGUUUAUUUCUGGAAUCCUGACACCUAGCACAGUUCCUGCCCCACUUAAGCACCAAGUGGCUGGUUGCAUUGAAUUGGAGUGUGUGUGUGUGUGUGUGUGUGUGUGUGUGUGUGUAAUUAAUCACCACUGCUAAUAUCUCUAUAAUGAGUAUCAGAAAGUGUGCCUCAUUCUGUCCACGCAUUAUUUCUAAGUCUAUGAUAACCCUCUCUAGAAGAGGCUUAAUAUCAUCCCAGGAGAGAACCCCAAGACUUGGCAGGGGGAAGUUGUGAUAUUGUACUGGAAUGAGAAAGCGAUUUGCGUCCUGUUGCUCUUAAAACCCUUGUCAUUUCCUAAGUGACGAGAGCCCCAGGGAGUGUGUUUUAUUGUAAAAUGUGGUCUUGGUCCACAAUUCCUGAAAUAGUUUCAGAGCAGUGAAACUGAAAGGAGUGUCUUAUCCACUGCUCGCCAGCCCCUUCCCACCAGGCUUGGCUUUCUCCUAAUCAACUGGUUUAGGGUGAGGCCACUCGGUGGCCUUGGACUGGCUCUGCUCAGCAGAAAGGAGAGGAAAAGGAGUCUGGGAAGCAGGAGUCACUUCUCUCAGGGGCAGAGCCAGGUGCCAAGGCUGGGGCAGUCCUUCUGGAAGACCCUACCCUGUGGGCUCUGAAGCUUCAAGAGGAGAGGAGUUGAUGCACAGGAAAAUGUGUUACAAUGUUCAAGGACCUGGGUUCAAGCCCCUGGUCCCCACUUGCAGGGGAGGGACAACUUCACGAAUGGUGGAGCAGUGUGGCAGACGCCUCUCUUUCUCCCUCCCUCUCUAUCUCCCUCUUCUCAAUUUCUAUCAAAUAAAUAAAAAAUAUAUAUAUAUUUUUAAA
Long non-coding RNA from Erinaceus europaeus (western European hedgehog), 1666 nucleotides. RefSeq lists it as uncharacterized. Lineage: Eukaryota; Metazoa; Chordata; Mammalia; Eulipotyphla; Erinaceidae. The transcript has 2 exons. The record is from RefSeq and is a predicted model, not a curated record.